AGAAGAGGGAAAGCGGGGUUUUUGGAUUUUCACUCUCUUUCUCUCUCUAAAAAACCCCUCUCGAGGUUCAAUCCGGCUCUGCAAUGGCGGAUUUCCAGAGCUCGACGCACCGAGCCAAGUGGAUAUUCACUCCUCACGGUCUGGCUGAAAAGUACAAGGCUGCUAAUCAAAGGGCGAUACAGACUCUGGAGAAGUAUGGAGCUACACGUAUGGAAGUAGAUGUCGAUGGAUCGUUGCUAUACCGUGAGGCUCAAGUUAAUUCGAAUGCAGACAAGCAUUCCCGUCCAAAACCACUUAAUAUUGAGGAAGAACAGUUUUUGAGGAUGUUCUAUGAAAAUAAACUUCGAGAAGUUUGUGGAGCCUUUUACUUUCCUCAUAAGGUUCAGGCGACAGCUCUCAUAUACUUUAAAAGGUUCUAUUUACAGUGGUCGGUCAUGGAACAUCACCCAAAGGACAUCAUUUUAACCUGCAUAUAUGCAGCCUGUAAAAUAGAAGAAAAUCAUGUAUCUGCAGAGGAGCUUGGUAAGGGAAUCUCACAGGAUCAUCAAGUCAUUCUCAAUAACGAGAUGCUAGUUCUUCAGAGUUUAGAGUUUGAUCUUAUUGUAUAUGCACCAUAUCGCUCAAUUGAAGGUUUCACAGAUGAUCUUGGGGAUUUCUGCCAUGCAGAGGAUGACCAGCUUCAAUUGCUAAAGGAAACUGCAAAAGAGGAAGUAGACAAAAGUAUGCUUACUGAUGCACCGCUUCUCUUUCCUCCUGGACAGCUGGCAUUGGCGGCUUUGCGUCGUGCUAAUGAGGUGCAUGGAGUUCUGGACUAUGAAAGUUACCUAGAGAACAUGCUCGUACGCCAAAAUUCCAUUCACAGCAGCACAGAGCUCAUUCAGCAUCUGAAUGCGAUAGAUUCCUCGGUUAGGACAUAUAAAUUCCCUUCUGAGAAGGAUAUGAAACACAUCAACAGGAAGCUGAGAUCUUGUUGGGGCCUUAGUUCACAUGAUGAUAGUAAGAAACGAGACAAGAAAUCGAAGCACAAAUCCAAGCAGAGUGCAGAUUAGAUGCAAGAGGGGUCAUCUCUUGCUUGACAGUAUGUCAUAUGUAUCCCUUGUGUGUAUGCACAGCUGAGGCAUCGUCAUUAAUGCCACACUCAUCCAAAUAUGCAUCUACUACGACUGUGGUUGCUGAACUUACUCUUCAAAGCUUGUUUUGCAUCACGAAAAUAUUCCACAGUAUGGAAGUGACAGAAAACAGUA
This is an RNA transcript of Eucalyptus grandis, 1244 nucleotides long. It is a transcript of the gene named cyclin-H1-1, with no coding region annotated. The record is from RefSeq and is a predicted model, not a curated record. The transcript is spliced from 14 exons. NCBI's taxonomy places the organism in Eukaryota, Viridiplantae, Streptophyta, Magnoliopsida, Myrtales, Myrtaceae.